Molecule: long non-coding RNA, 530 nt
Organism: Camelus dromedarius (Arabian camel)
Lineage: Eukaryota; Metazoa; Chordata; Mammalia; Artiodactyla; Camelidae
Exons: 3
Source: RefSeq, a predicted model, not a curated record
UCUUCCACGCAUCUGGGUGAAGCCGCAGUUUGAAUCUAUGAAAUCUGAAGUCCUGGUCAGAGCGGAUAAGACCGUGGGUCAUGGUUUCUGGGAGAACUAAAGGGUAACCCAGCUUGGAGACUGGGAUGAAUGUCACAGACUUGGCAGUGAUAGAGAUGCCCUGAGCCUUGCAGAAGACAGCUUUAAGGGAGAAGAUCUCAGUUGGACUAUAGCUGCCAGAUAAUGUGACAGCAGUUAAGUAGAAUGAAGGCGAGCUGUUAAGCAUGGCCAUGCCAAGGAGAAGCUGACCUCACCUGAGCCAAGUCACAGGGGACCCUGGGCCAGGAGAAUCUGCCUGGGUGCAGUCAGUGACACCCCAGGCAGACCCUCCCGCCCCUGGAGAAGAGCCCGGAGCUCCCUCUCUCAGAGUAUUUAGCUGGGACUGCCCUCUUCUCCCCAACUGGCCAUGAGCCCCAGCCUCUUUUGUGUGAUUCUCUGUCUUCUGGGGGCAGGUGAGUUCCAGGCGCAGCUGAAACGUCUGCCUUCACUUU